RNAcentral lists this ribosomal RNA (484 nucleotides) under uncultured bacterium. Its description in RNAcentral is "partial 16S ribosomal RNA". It matches the Rfam family "Bacterial small subunit ribosomal RNA", at positions 29 to 507 of the family's 1533-position model. The record is from RNAcentral.
AUUGAACGCUGGCGGCAUGCUUUACACAUGCAAGUCGAACGGCAGCGCGGGCUUCGGCCUGGCGGCGAGUGGCGAACGGGUGAGUAAUACAUCGGAACGUGCCCAGUAGUGGGGGAUAGCUCGGCGAAAGCCGGAUUAAUACCGCAUACGACCUGAGGGUGAAAGCGGGGGAUCUUCGGACCUCGCGCUAUUGGAGCGGCCGAUGGCAGAUUAGCUAGUUGGUGGGGUAAAGGCCUACCAAGGCGACGAUCUGUAGCUGGUCUGAGAGGACGACCAGCCACACUGGGACUGAGACACGGCCCAGACUCCUACGGGAGGCAGCAGUGGGGAAUUUUGGACAAUGGGCGAAAGCCUGGUCCAGCAAUGCCGCGUGUGUGAUGAAGGCCUUCGGGUUGUAAAGCACUUUUGGCGGGAACGAAAGGGACUGUGCCAAUACCACGGUUCGAUGACGGUACCCGCAGAAUAAGCACCGGCUAACUACGUG